AGGACGAACGCUGGCGGCGUGCUUAACACAUGCAAGUCGAACGGACUGCUUUCGGGUGGUUAGUGGCGAACGGGUGAGUAACACGUGGGUAACCUGCCCUUGACUCUGGGAUAACUCCGGGAAACCGGGGCUAAUACCGGAUAUGAUUCUGCAUCGCAUGGUGUGGGGUGGAAAGUUUUUCGGUCAAGGAUGGGCCCGCGGCCUAUCAGCUUGUUGGUGGGGUGAUGGCCUACCAAGGCGUCGACGGGUAGCC
Molecule: ribosomal RNA, 253 nt
Filed under: uncultured bacterium
Lineage: Bacteria
Description: partial small subunit ribosomal RNA
Rfam family: Bacterial small subunit ribosomal RNA
Source: RNAcentral